CAGGAAUUGCAGCAAAUGUGUCUGAUUGCGUCUUUUCCUUUUGUUCUGUUGAAUGCUGUUCUGGUUCUUUCUUAUUUUCUUCAACUUCAGUAACCACAGGUUCUGCAUUUUCUGUUUCUGUAGGCUCAACAUCAGUAACCACAGAUUCGUCUUCUCCUUUUUCCGUAGGCACCCGACGACAAUGAAAAAAAGAAAACAAAUAUGUAAAAUCUGCAAGCUUAAUUCAAUCAGUCCCAUUAUUUGACUUUAAUGUCCCCCUUUGGUUCUGAGGACAGAUUUUUGGAAGAUGGAGAUUUUCCGGUGAUAGCCUUCUUUGCUUUCACUAGUGACUGUUUUACCUUUGAUAUGAUGUUAUUUGACUGCUUUUGAACUGGCUUGGUUGGAGUUUCUUUUGGAAGGUCCUUGGAUGUCUUUGUUGUAUCAUUUUCCUUGGUGGCUUCAACCUCAGUUUUCACUGGCUCGUCAAUUUGUUCUUUCUCCAAAUUAGCUGCUCCAGUUUUAACAAAUUCCUCCUCUUCUUUUUCUUCAAAUUUAGAUGCCAGUGUUUCUCUAACAGGUGCACUUACAGCAUUAGAGAUUUCAUCCACCUUUGUGUCAGCAUCUCCUUCUUUCUUGUUAUCAACUUCUUCAUUUUUCACACUCUCUACAUUCACACUCCCUUCUUCAGGUAUAGCUGCCGUUGCAUCCUUCUGUUCCUCAGGCUUCUUGAUAUCAACCUCUACCUCUCUUGAAGAUACUUGGACAGCAUCAGGUGCUUCUGAUUCCUUCUUUUCAUCCUCUGCAGCAGCAACAACAAACUUUUCCUCGACACUGGUAGGGUUCUCCGUAUCACUGGCCGCUUCUUUUGACUCAAUCGCAUCAGUAAAGCUUGAUUCUUUCUUGACAUCUUCUUCAACAACCUUUUCUUCAACUUCAUGAGAUGGUUCCUCCAGACUUGCAGGGUUUUCCUGAGCUUUGACAUUCAGUGAAACUUGUGUCGUCUUCACUGUGGUGUUAGUUUCACUUUCCACCCCCUUUUCAGUUUUCUCUUCAUUGAAUGAUAUGGAGUCUUUGAUUGUGGCAUCUAGAGAUCCUUCACUUUUUUCAGUUGCUUCCUUUGGCUCCACCUCCUUAUUAGUUUCCCCAAUUUCCUCACCUACUUGUAAUUGUUCUCUUGACUUUUCCUCCACUCCAUUAGACAGAGCAUCUGUAUCUGUGUUCUCUUCCAACUUUGAGUUAUCAGUCUCUUUCACCACCUCAAUAUCUGAGUCUUUGGGAAGGUUAACCUCCACUGUAUCAGCGGUUAGUUCUUGAACUUCAGCUGCUUCCUUUAGCUUCUCUUCUUCCUCUUGUUUGAAUAUUUGAAUUUCUGGCUCACUUUGCUUUUCAUCCACUUCAGUACCCACAGGCUCUGCCUUCUCUGUUUCUGUAGGCACUACUUCGUCGUUGUUAGUCUCUUUCAAUAGGUCUGCCUCAUGUUCUAUUUCUCUUGUUUUUUCUUCUACAGCAAUGGCAUCACUGGUCUCUGCAGAGUGUUCAGGAAUUGCAGCAAAUGUGUCUGAUUGCGUCUUUUCCUUUUGUUCUGUUGAAUGCUGUUCUGGUUCUUUCUUAUUUUCUUCAACUUCAGUAACCACAGGUUCUGCAUUUUCUGUUUCUGUAGGCUCAACAUCAGUAACCACAGAUUCGUCUUCUCCUUUUUCCGUAGGCUCCACUUUAAUGUUAUUGGUCUCUUCCGGAUUUCUCCACUGUUGUCUUUUCCUCUAUGGUCUUGCUCUGUUUCUCAUCGGCUUCCGCUGAGGGUUCAGCAUCAGCAAUUGCAACUGCGCUUGGUUGUGCUGCCUCUUCUGAUUUUUCUUGUGAUUCUUUUUCUUGUUUUGUUACUUCCUUCUCUUCAGUGGCCACAG
Molecule: long non-coding RNA, 1883 nt
Filed under: Cicer arietinum (chickpea)
Lineage: Eukaryota; Viridiplantae; Streptophyta; Magnoliopsida; Fabales; Fabaceae
Description: long non-coding RNA (CARI_LNC000979)
Source: RNAcentral